RNAcentral lists this long non-coding RNA (537 nucleotides) under Sitophilus oryzae (rice weevil). RNAcentral's name for it is "uncharacterized LOC115889490, transcript variant X2". The record is from RNAcentral. Lineage: Eukaryota; Metazoa; Arthropoda; Insecta; Coleoptera; Curculionidae.
CAUUAGUCAUGUCCUAGUUAAAUAAAGCUAAGUUCGGUCCUUUUUAGCCGAAAAAAAUAUCAGCAAAGUGUGGUUUGAGUUUGGCGAUAUAAUCAGCUGUUAAAUUAUGAAACUAUUAUGGCGAAUCAGUUGCAUCUUGUCUAGUGUAAUCGCCAUAUUAUGGAUAUUUCCUCUAGUUGGGGCAAGUAAAUAUCACCCCGAGGCUUUACUGACAACGGAACAAAAAGUUAAAAGACACGGUUACCCGAUCGAAGUAUACCAAAUUACCACGCAAGACGAUUAUCUGUUGCCUCUCUACCGUGUACCCCAUGGAAUAUAUAACAAAAAUCGCGACAACAAAAACAAAAGUGUGGUCGUUUUACUCCAUGGGAUGGGAGGAUGUCCGGACAACUAUCUUCUUUUUGGAAGAGAUUCUCUGCCGUAUUUUUUUGCCGAAAGAGAUUUUGAUGUGUUCCUGUUUUCAUCGAGGGGUACACCCAGCCCUUUCAAAAGAAACCAUAAGAGGUGGGAUUGGAAUGAAGACCUAGACUACUGGGU